AAGUCGAACGAUGAACCACUUCGGUGGGGAUUAGUGGCGAACGGGUGAGUAACACGUGGGCAAUCUGCCCUGCACUCUGGGACAAGCCCUGGAAACGGGGUCUAAUACCGGAUACUGACCAUCUUGGGCAUCUUUGAUGGUCGAAAGCUCCGGCGGUGCAGGAUGAGCCCGCGGCCUAUCAGCUAGUUGGUGAGGUAAUGGCUCACCAAGGCGACGACGGGUAGCCGGCCUGAGAGGGCGACCGGCCACACUGGGACUGAGACACGGCCCAGACUCCUACGGGAGGCAGCAGUGGGGAAUAUUGCACAAUGGGCGAAAGCCUGAUGCAGCGACGCCGCGUGAGGGAUGACGGCCUUCGGGUUGUAAACCUCUUUCAGCAGGGAAGAAGCGAAAGUGACGGUACCUGCAGAAGAAGCGCCGGCUAACUACGUGCCAGCAGCCGCGGUAAUACGUAGGGCGCAAGCGUUGUCCGGAAUUAUUGGGCGUAAAGAGCUCGUAGGCGGCUUGUCACGUCGGUUGUGAAAGCCCGGGGCUUAACCCCGGGUCUGCAGUCGAUACGGGCAGGCUAGAGUUCGGUAGGGGAGAUCGGAAUUCCUGGUGUAGCGGUGAAAUGCGCAGAUAUCAGGAGGAACACCGGUGGCGAAGGCGGAUCUCUGGGCCGAUACUGACGCUGAGGAGCGAAAGCGUGGGGAGCGAACAGGAUUAGAUACCCUGGUAGUCCACGCCGUAAACGGUGGGCACUAUGUGUGGGCAACAUUCCACGUUGUCCGUGCCGCAGCUAACGCAUUAAGUGCCCCGCCUGGGGAGUACGGCCGCAAGGCUAAGACUCAAAGGAAUUGACGGGGGCCCGCACAAGCGGCGGAGCAUGUGGCUUAAUUCGACGCA
RNAcentral lists this ribosomal RNA (885 nucleotides) under Streptomyces thinghirensis. Its description in RNAcentral is "bacterial SSU rRNA". It matches the Rfam family "Bacterial small subunit ribosomal RNA", at positions 59 to 958 of the family's 1533-position model. The record is from RNAcentral. Lineage: Bacteria; Bacillati; Actinomycetota; Actinomycetes; Kitasatosporales; Streptomycetaceae.